ACAAACUUGGUCAUUUAGAGGAAGUAAAAGUCGUAACAAGGUUUCCGUAGGUGAACCUGCGGAAGGAUCAUUACCGUAAGAUACCUAGGGUUUUGAGACUGCAUUCAAAUGGAUGCGUGCUCAACCCUUCCUCUUCAUCCACAUACACCUGUGCACUAUGGGAUGUAAAAUCCCCUUUUUUCCACACAAAAACCGAGUUAUAUGCAUGUAUUUAUUGCUCUACGGAGUAACAUACAACUUUCAACAACGGAUCUCUUGGCUUUCGCAUCGAUGAAGAACGCAGC
Molecule: unclassified non-coding RNA, 284 nt
Filed under: uncultured fungus
Lineage: Eukaryota; Fungi
Description: partial contains small subunit ribosomal RNA, internal transcribed spacer 1, and 5.8S ribosomal RNA
Rfam family: Eukaryotic small subunit ribosomal RNA (bases 1-73)
Source: RNAcentral